GGGGGGGGGGGGGUCUGGCUACUGGUCACCAUACCAUUGUGUUUUCUGAUGGUUGUAAUUGUGUCUUUGUAAAGGAGGACAGGCUUGUGUUUGUUAUUUCCAUUUAAUGAUUGUUAUUGUCUUCUGUAUUCUGAUUAUGUAUGCUGUCAGCCUGUCAAUGAACCAAACACUGCACCAGAGAACAAAGAGCGGAAUAAUCAAAUGCGAUGGGAAAUGCCUUCAAAUCUUUUAUAUUAUUUUUACCCAUUUGAGUUUAACGGAGUGAAAACCAAAAGGAACAUCUUUCUUGAAAGAACUCCCAAACUCAGCAGCUUACAAUGCAAUAUAUUUAUUAGUUGUAAUGUUUCAGUACCUGACCUCAAAUGGGAAUACUUUACAAAGAACAUUUUAGAACCCGCUUUCUCACUUCCUGUCUGACUAGCCAUUCCAAGGCCUCCGAGGAAAAUGCAUUUUGACGUCGUAUUAAAAAUGAACUGUGAAGAGAGCAGGUUUCAGAAGACAUGGUAAAUGUUAGUGAGCAUUCUACCGGUAACUGGAGGCAGAGCGAGGCAGUGAGCGUCUUAAUAGUUUAACCUUGUCACUUCUACAAUCUAUUCCAAGGAAUCUAACAAGUUAUCCAGGCCAAGGUUUAAAAGUAGAACAGCCACGCGAAGAAAACACUGUUCAUAAUGUUUGCGUGUGACAUUUUCCCACACACAGUUUCUCUGCAGUUCUCGCUCUGCUGUGCUGCUAUAGUUUAACAUUUCCUUUUUGCUCAGUAUUGCUUGGCACAUGGCCCUUAUCCCCUUUCCUCUACCCCCCAGAACUUCCUCUUUUGAUUUGUCAGUUCAAGGUUCUCUCUCUUUGCCUCUCUUCGACCCUGUAGAUCUAUCUUUUAUCUAUGCCACACACACACACACACACACACCGCACACGCACACACACACACACACACACACACACACAGUAAAGGUUCCUAUGAGGGCAACCAGUGAGUGAGAGCCCCAGGAGGUAGUUAUAUCCCACCCUACACUGUUGAUGUUUCAAAAGCGUGCUCGCUUGACUGUGUGUGUGUGUGUUUGUGUUGUGUGUUUGUGUCUGCGUGCGCGUGUGUGUGAACACCUGAGAGCUUUCAUAAUUGGCUGUGAGAGAUAGAGAGUGUGACAGCACCCGCGGAUUUGCGGUCUAUUUUUAACAUCGUGGCUCACUGGAGGCCCAGAGGUGUGCGUGUGUGUAUGUUUGUCUGUGCGUAUAUAUGUGUGUGUGUGUGUGUGUGUGUGUGUGUGUGUGUGUGUGUGUGUGUGUGUAUGCCCAAACCCAUUACCUCCUGUUCCUGACUCCCCUAUCUAUUGCUUUUGCCACAUUACCUGUACUAUGGACCACAUACAUGCAUGCAAGCACACGCAAAUGCAUGCACGCAUGCACAUACAUACAAACACACACAUACACACUCUCAUGCACACAAACAAACACAAGUCUGUAUGGCUACUAGAUACGGUUACUUACUCAAACCAGCAGACAUGUCUGCAUUAUUCAUGAGUUAGGGUCAUAUUGCUUCCUGUAUUCCGGUUUACAUGAUCGCUGGGGGAAACACAAUGUGGGUCAAAGAUCUGGGCUUACCUGUGCUCGUGUUUGGUGUGUGUGUUGCUGUGUGUGCAUGUAUUGUGUGUGCAGGCUUAGGUAGAUGUAGGGAUACAGGCGUUGUGGAAACCAUUAGGUCACUUUAAUUAUGAUCAGCCCCCAUUAUUUUAAUAUAUAUUAUUAUUAUAUUUGUGUGUCUAUGUGUGUGUGUCUGUGGGAGUAGAUAAUGUAAAUUGCUAAACAAAGCUAAACAUAAAGAAUUAUCUGACAUGGCGCCUUGUCUCUCUCUCUGGAAAAGCUCUCCGGGUGGCUCUUAUUUGUACAUUUCUUUUUAAAACAACUUAAAUAAAACAAAACCAUGAAACAUCAUUUCAGGGACACUACA
This is a long non-coding RNA of Gadus macrocephalus (Pacific cod), 1945 nucleotides long. RefSeq lists it as uncharacterized. Lineage: Eukaryota; Metazoa; Chordata; Actinopteri; Gadiformes; Gadidae. The transcript has 2 exons. The record is from RefSeq and is a predicted model, not a curated record.